Long non-coding RNA from Prosopis cineraria, 10765 nucleotides. RefSeq lists it as uncharacterized. NCBI's taxonomy places the organism in Eukaryota, Viridiplantae, Streptophyta, Magnoliopsida, Fabales, Fabaceae. The transcript has 4 exons. The record is from RefSeq and is a predicted model, not a curated record.
UUCUUGUUACUUCUUGUGGGUCUCUACAAUUUUGGUAGUCUAGAGAUGAUUUGAUUAUCAGACAGCAUUGUGUUUUGUGCUCUCCUCUAAACGAAACAGAGGAGAAACGGUCGUAGUUUACUAAUAAUUCACAAUACUUGGUUGAUUGAUUAGAUUCCAAUAAUGACCCUUCAUCUGCAUUUACAAUAAUUAAUAAAUUGGUAUGAUAAUGGGUUUUAUGCACCUUUUACCAAUAAGAUCAGGGGCAUAAAUGGGCAUCAGUGUCAAUGUAUAUCAAAUCAUAUCUCUGUCAAGUUGCUUGCAGGUUAUGAUUUGGAGAGUUUAUCUCUUGGAUUAUACAUGAAUGCACGAUUCACAGAGAAAGUGUCAUAGUCAGGGGGGAAAAAGACACGACUCAAUGGGAAAAUUUAUAUGAAAUUGUUUAUUUCUUUAUGGUGAAAUUUUAUAGAUACGAUUGUUUAAAAUUAUCAAAUUAUGACUGUUUUGAAUCCUUGAAUUUGGAAUACAAAUGUUAAAAAAUUAUGACCUAUGCAAACCUAGGAAAAUUGACAGUUUUUUAGACCCUUCAACAGCACAAAUGUGGGAAAAUUGUGACCUAUACCAAUAUGGUAAAAUCGUAUUCAUUCUGGGUUCUUGAACUUUGAAUGGAAAAUUGUCUUGUGAUUUUCUACGAUCUUAUUUUUUGUUUUCUAGAGAAAUGACUCUUGCAUCAUGCGAUACGUCUUUGAGUGAAAAGUGGAAUUAAUUACCAGGCUUAAAUUUGACUUGUUAAGCUGCCUUAUUAUUAUUAUUUUUUACCUUCAUGUCCUGAUAUUUUUUGAAGUAUCAUAUGUGCCAAAUAUGAGAAAGGACAGGAUUCUUUUUUUUUUUGGGGAAAAUGUCCUUACCAUUUUAUUUGAACUUGCAUCUGUAAUGCACUUCUACAAGGCUCAGUGAUGUUUGUAUAUUUGAUGCCUAAUUAAAAGGUGCAUAAAUACAAAUAUAGUGGCUUACUUUCGCGCUUUAGCUUAGACUUUUUGUGUCUUUGCUGCCUAUAGCCCUUGUACAUAUGUAUACAUAUAUCCUACUUUGACAAUUUUCUCAAGUAUGCCCAUUCAUAAAGCUUGAUGCCCAUUGCAUCAUGUGUUGCUUAUUUUGAUGACUUCUAUUUACGUAUGGGAAUGCUUUGACUAUUUUGGAUCUUUUAACUUGAAUUACAAAUGUGAGAAUAUUACCGUUUUGCAUUGUUUAAUUUCGAUUACAAAUGUUUUGACCAUUUUAAAUUUUUUAACUUGGAUCACAAUUGUGGGAAUAUACAAACCGUUUUGGAAUAUUUAAAUUCGAUAUCAAAUUCGGGAAUAUUUUGAACAUUUUGGAUCCUUUAACUUGGAUCACAAAUGUGAUAUACAAAUGUGGGAAAAUUUUGACCGUGUUGGAUCCUUUAACUUGGAUAACAAUUGUGGGGAUAUUUGGACCAUUUUGGAUCAUAUAAAUUCAAUUUAAAAAAUGGGAAUGUUUUUACCCUUUUGGAUCCUUUAACUUGGAUCACAAGUAUGAUGCACAAACGUGGAAAUUUUUUGAUUGUUUUGGAUCCUUUAACUUGGAUCACAAUUGUGGGAGUAUCUGAACCAUUUUGGAUUAUAUAAAUUUGAUUACAAAUUUGGGAAUGUUUUGACCCUUUCGGAUCCUCUAACUUGGAUCACAAGUGUGAUACACAUAUGUGGGAAUUUUCUAACCAUUUUGGAUCCUUUAACUUGGAUUACAAUUGUGGGAAUAACCGGACUGUUUUGGAUAUACUAAAUUUGAUUUCAAAUGUGGGAAUAUUUUGACCCUUUUGGAUCCUUUAAUUUAGAUCACAAGUGUAAUACACAAAUGUGAGAAUUUUCUAACUGUUUUGGAUCCUUUUACUUUGAUCACAAAUGUGGGAAUCUUUGGACCCUUUUGGAUCUAUUAAAUUUGAUUACAAAUGUGGGAAUGUUUUGAUCGUUUUAGCUCUUAUAUCUUGAAUCACAUAUGUAAUAUGCAAAUGUGGGAAUGUUUUGACCAUUUUGGAUUAGUUAACUUAGAUCACAAAUGUUGGAAUGUUCUAACCAUUUUGGAUUAGUUAACUUAGACCACAAAUGUGGGAAUCUUUGUAACAUUUUGGAUCCUUUAAUUGAGAUCACAAAUGUGGGAAUAUUCGAACUGUUUUGGAUUUUUUAAAUUCGAUUACAAAUGUGGAAUGUUCUAAUUGUUUUGAAAUUUUUAGCUCGACUCAUAAUUGUGAUAUGCAAAUUGUGAAAUGUUUUGAUCAAUUUGGAUCCUUUAACUAGGAUCACAAAUGUGACAAUAUUUGCACUAUUUUUUAUCCUUUAAAUUCGAUUGCAAAUGUGGGAAUCUUUUGACCAUUUUGAAUCCUUUAACUUGGAUCACAAUUAUGGAAAUAUUCGGACUGUUUUGGAUCAUUUAAAUUCAGGAAUGUUUUGAACAUUUUAGAUCCUUUAACUUGGAUAACAAAUGUGAUAUACAAAUGUGGCAAUGUUUUGACUGUGUUGGAUCCUUUAACUUGGAUCAUAAUUGUGGGAAUAUUCAGAACAUUUUGGAUCAUAUAAAUUUGAUUGCAAAUGUGAGAAUGUUUUGACCCUUUAACUUGGAUCACAAGUGUGAUACACAAAUGUGGGAAUUUUUUGACUGUUUUGGAUCCUUUAACUUGGAUCACUAUUGUGGGAAUAUCUAGACCCUUUUGGAUCAUAUAAAUUCGAUUACAAAUGUGGGAAUGUUUUGACCCUUUUGGAUCCUCUAACUUGCAUCACAAGUGUGAUACACAAAUGUGAAAAUUUUCUGACUAUUUUGGAUCCUUUAACUUAGAUCACAAUUGUGGGAAUAUCCAGACUGUUUUGGAUCUAUUAAAUUCGAUUAAAUGUUUUGACCCUUUUGGAUCCUCUAACUUGGAUCAUGAGUGUGAUACACAAAUGUGGGAAUUUUCUGACUGUUUUGGAUCCUUUUACUUUGAUCACAAAUGUGGGAAUCUUUAGACCAUUUUGGAUCUAUUAAAUUCGAUUACAAAUGUGAAAAUGUUCUGACUAUUUUGGCUCCUACAUCUUUAAUCACAUGUAUAAUAUGCAAAUGUGGGAAUGUUUUGAUAGUUUUGGAUUAUUUAACUUAGAUCACAAAUGUUGGAAUGUUUUGAUCAUUUUAGAUCAUUUAACUUAGAGCACAAAUGCGGGAAUCUUUGAAACUUUUUGGAUCCAUUAAAUUUGAUUACAAAUGCGGGAUUGUUUUGACUGUUUUGAAUCCGUUAAUUGAGAUCACAAAUGUGGGAGUAUUUGAAUCGUUUUGGAUUUUUUAAAUUCGAUUACAAAUGUGAAAAUAUUCUAAUUGUUUUGAAAUUUUUAACUCGACUCACAAAUGUGAUAUGCAAAUUGUGAAAUGUUUUGAUUGAUUUGGAUCCUUUAAUUAGGAUCACAAAUGUGAGAAUAUUUGGAUUGUUUUUGAUCCUUUACAUUCGACUGCAAAUGUGGAAAUCUUUUGACCAUUUUGAAUCCUUUAAUUUGGAUCACAAUUGUGGGAAUAUUCGGAUUGUUUUGGAUCAUUUAAAUUUGAUAUUAGAUUCGAGAAUGUUUUGAACAUUUUGAAUUUUUUAACUUGGAUCACAAAUGUGAUAAAUAAAUGUGGGAAUGCUUUGACCGUGUUGGAUCCUUUAACCUUGAUCUCAAAUGCGGGAAUGUUGGACCAUUUUGGAUCAUAUAAAUUCAAUUACAAACAAGGGAAUGUUUUGACCCUUUUGGAUCCUUUAACUUGGAUCACAAUUGUGAGACUAUUUGAACCCUUUCAGAUCCUUUAACUUGGAUCACAAGUGUGAUACACAAAGGUAGGAAUUUUCUGACUAUUUUGGAUCUUUUAACUUUGAUCACCAAUGUGGGAAUCUUUGGACCGUUUUUGAUAGAUUAAAUUUGAUUACAAAUGCGGGAAUGUUCUGACCAUUUUGGCUCCUAUAUCUUUAAUCACAUAUAUAAUAUGCAAAUGUUAAAAUGUUUUGGCCGUUUUGGAUAAUUUAUUUUAGAUCACAAAUGUGGGAAUUUUUAGAUAGUUUUGGAUCCAUUAAAUUCGAUUAUAAAUAUGGGAUUGUUUUGACCAUUUUGGAUCCUUUAAUUGAGAUCACAAAUGUGGGAAUUUCUAAUUGUUUUGAAAUUUUUAACUCUACUCACAAAUAUGAUAUAAAAAAUGUGAAAUAUUUUGAUCAAUUUGGAUCCUUUAACUAGGAUCACAAAUGUGAGAAUAUUUGGAUUGUCUUUUAUCCUUUAAUUUGAUUACAGAUGUGGAAAUCUUCUGACCAUUUUGAAUCCUUUAACUUGGAUCAAAAUUGUGGGAAUAUUUGCACCAUUUUGGAUCAUUUAAAUUUGACAUCAAAUUUGGAAAUUUUUUGAACAUUUUGGAUCCUUUAACUUAGAUAAAAAAUGUGGGAAUGUUUUGACCAUAUUGGAUCCUUUAACUUUGAUAUCAAAAGUGGGAAUGUUCAAAUCAUUUUGGAUAAUUUAAAUUCAAUUAUAAAUGUGAGAAUGUUUUGACCCUUUUGGAUCCUUUAACUUGGAUUACAAGUGUUAUACACAAAUGUGGGAAUUUUUCUAACUGUUUUGGAUCCUUUUACUUUGAUCACAAAUGUGGGAAUCUUUAGACUAUUUUGGAUCUAUUAAAUUUGAUUACAAAUGUGGAAAUGUUCUGAUCGUUUUAGCUCCUAUAUCUUGAACACAUAUGUAAUAUGCAAAUGUGGGAAUGCUUUGAUCGUUUUUUAUUAUUUAACUUAGAUCACAAAUGUUGGAAUGUUCUGACCGUUUUGGAUUUAUUAAAUUCGAUUACAAAUGUGACCGUUUUAGCUCCUAUAUCUUGAAUCACAUAUGUAAUAUGCAAAUGUGGGACCGUUUUUGAUUAUUUAACUUAGAUUACAAAUGUUGGAAUGUUCUGACUGUUUUGAAUCAUUUAACUUAGAGCAUAAAUGUGGGAAUCUUUGGAACUUUUUGAAUCCAUUAAAUUCAAUUAUAGAUGUGGGAUUGUUUUGAUUGCUUUGGAUUCUUUAACUAAGAUCAUAAAUGUGGGAAUGUUUGUAAUUGAAUUCAGUUAAAAUUAUGGGAAUGUUUAGAUUGUUUAAAUUCAGAUCAUUUUGGAUGUUUUAAAUUUGGUUACAAAUGUGGGAAUGUUCUAAUUAUGUUUAAAAUUUUAACUCGACUCACAAAUGUGAGAAUAUUUGGACUAUUUUUGAUCCUUUAAAUUUGAUUGCAAAUGUGGAAAUCUUGUGAUCAUUUUAAAUCCUUUAACUUGGAUCACAAUUGUGAGAAUAUUUGGAUUGUUUUGGAUCAUUUAAAUUUGAUAUCAAAUUUGGAAAUGUUUUGAACAUUUUUGAUCCUUUAACAUUGAUCACAAAUGUGAUAUACAAAUGUUGUAGUGUUUUGACCGCAUUGGAUCCUUUAACUUUGAUCUCAAAUGUGGGAAUGUUUGAACUAUUUUGGAUAAUUUAAAUUUAAUUACAAAUGUGGGAAUGUUUUGAUCCUUUUGGAUCUUUUAACUUAGAUCACAAGUGUCAUAGACAAAUGUGGGAAUUUUGUUAUCGUUUUUUAUCCUUUAACUUGGAUCACAAUUGUGGGAAUAUUUAGACUAUUUUGGAUCAUAUAAAUUUGAUUAUAAAUGUGAAAAUGUUUUGACCCUUUUGGAUCCUCUAACUUAGAUCACGAGUGUGAUACACAAAUGUGGAAAUUUUUUGACCGUUUUGGAUCCUUUAACUUUGAUCACAAAUGUGGGAAUCUUUGGACUAUUUUGGAUCUAUUAAAUUUGAUUACAAAUGUGGGAAUUUUCUGACCGUUUUGGCUCCUAUAUCUUGAAUCACAUAUGUAGUAUGCAAAUGUGAGAAUGUUCUGGCUGUUUUGGAUUAUCUAACUUAGAUUACAAAUGUGAGAAUGUUUUGACCGUUUUGGAUUAGUUAACUUAGAGCACAAAUGUGGGAAUCUUUGAAACGUUUUGGAUCCAUUAAAUUCAAUUACAAAUGUGGCAUUGUUUUGGAUCCUUUAAUUGAGAUCACAAAUAUGGAAAUAUUCAAACUGUUUUAGAUUUUUUAAAUUUGAUUACAAAUGUGGGAAUAUUCUAGUCAUUUUGAAAUUUUUAACUCGACUCACAAAUGUGAUAUGCAAAUUGUGAAAUGUUUUGAUCAAUUUAGAUCCUUUAACUGGGAUCGCAAAUGUGACAAUAUUUGCACUGUUUUUGAUCCUUUAAAUUUGAUUGCAAAUAUGAAAAUCUUUUGACCAUUUCGAAUCCUUUAACUUGGAUCACAAUUGUGGGAGUAUUCGGACCAUUUAAUUUGAUAUCAAAUUCGGGAAUGUUUUGAACAUUUUGAAUCCUUUAACUUGGAUCACCAAUGUGAUAUACAAAUGUGGCAAUGUUUUGAUUGUGUUAGAUCAUAUAAACUUGAUUACAAAUGUGAGAAUGUUUUGACCCUUUUGGAUCCUUUAACUUGGAUUAUAGGUGUGAUACACAAAUGUGGGAAUUUUCUAAUCAUUUUGGAUCUUUUAACUUGGAUCACAAUUGUGGGAAUAUCAGGAUCAUUUUGGAUCAUAUAAAUUUGAUUACAACUGUGAGAAUGUUUUGAUCUUUUUGGAUCUUCUAAUUUGGAUCACAAGUGUGAUACACAAAUGUGAAAAUUUUCUGACCGUUUUGGAUCUUUUAAUUUUGAUCACAAAUGUGGGAAUCUUUAGACCCUUUUGGAUCUAUUAAAUUCAAUUUCAAAUGUGGGAAUGUUCUGAUCGUGUUGGCUCUUAUAUCUUGAAUUGCAUAUGUAAUAUGCAAAUGUGGAAAUGUUUUGACCGUUUUGGAAUAUCUAACUUAGAUCACAAGUGUGUGAAUGUUCUGACCGUUUUGGAUUAGUUAACUUAGAGCACAAAUGUGGGAAUCUUUGAAACGUUUUGGAUCCAUUAAAUUUGAUUACAAAUGUGGCAUUGUUUUGGAUCCUUUAAUUGAGAUGACAAAUGUGGGAAUAUUCGAACUAUUUUGGAUUUUUUAAAUUUGAUUACAAAUGUGGGAAUGUUUUAAUCAUUUUGAAAUUUUUAACUUGGCUCACAAAUAUGAUAUACAAAUUAUGAAAUGUUUUGAUCAAUUUGGAUCCUUUAACUGGGAUCACAAAUGUGACAAUAUUUGCACUUUUUUUGAUCCUUUAAAUUCAAUUGCGAAUAUGGAAAUCUUUUGACCAUUUCGAAUCCUUUACCUUGGAUCACAAUUGUGGGAAUAUUCGGAUCAUUUUGGAUCAUUUAAAUUCGAUAUCAAAUUCAAGAAUGUUUUGAACAUUUUGGAACCUUUAACUUGGAUUACAAACGGGAUAUACAAAUGUGGGAAUGUUUUGAUCGUGUUGGAUCCUUUAAAUUUGAUCUUAAAUGUGGGAAUAUUCGGACCGUUUUGGAUAAUUUAAAUUCAAUUACAAAUAAGGGAAUGUUUUGACCCUUUUGGAUCUUUUAACUUGGAUCACAAUUGCGAGACUAUUCGAACAAUUUUGAAUAAUUUAAAUUUGAUUACAAAUGUGGGAAUGUUCUGAUCAUUUUGGCUCCUAUAAUUGGAAUCACAUAUGUGAUAUGCAAUGUGAAAAUAUUCUGAUCAUUUUGGAUCAUUUAACUUAGAUCACAAAUGUGAGAUUGCUUUGAUCAUUUUGGAUAAUUUAACUUAUGUAACAAAUGUGGGAAUCUUUGGACUGUUUUGGAUUCAUUAAAUUCGAUUACAAAUGUGGAAUUGUUUUGAUCAUCUUGGAUUCUUUAAUUUGGAUCACAAAUGUGUAAAUAUUCAGACCAUUUUGGAUCUUUUAAAGUCAAUAACAAAGGUGAGAAUGUUUUAACUGUUUUAGGUCCUAUAACUUAUAUUGCAAAUGUGGUAUACAAAUGUGGGAAUGUUCUGAUUGUUUUAAAUCCUUUAACUUAGAUCACAAAUGUGAAAUUUUUUUGACUAUUUUGGAUCUUUUAAAUUCGAUUGCAAAUGUGAGAAUGUUUUGACUAUUUGGGAUCCUUCAACCUAGAUUUUGAUUGCUCCUAUAUUGAGAAUGUUCUGACCAUUUUGAAUUAGUUAACUUAGGACAAAAUGAAUUUAAGUUGGCUACUUGUCAUAUCUGUGUUGCUUGUAGCACUUGUACAUACACAUAUUUGGCAAAUUUCUCUUGUAUGCGCACUUACAAAGCUUGAUACCUACUGUAUGAUGUGUUGUUUAUUUUGAUAGCUCUUAUACAAAUGUGAGCAUGUUCUGACCGUUUUGGAUCCUUUAACUUGGAUCACAAAUGUGACAAUAUUCAGAUUGUUUUGGAUCCUUUAAAUUUAGUUACAAAUGUUGGAAUGUUUUGACUAUUUUAGAUCAUUUAACUUAUAUGUUGAAGGCUCUUAGAAUAGAAAUGUUUUUAUUGUUUUUGAUCCUUUAAUAUGGAUUACAAAUGUGAGAAUUUUUUGAUCGUUUAGGAUCCUCAAACUUGGAAAACAAAUGGGCAAAAUUUUGACCAUUUUGGAUUCAUGAUCUUUGAAUACGAAAUGGGAAGUUAUGACCGUUGCUAAUGUGGAAAAUUGUAAUGGUUUUGGGUUCUUAAACUUAGAAUAGAAAGCUACUUUGUGAUUUGGUACAAUUGUAUAUUUGGCUUUCUAGAUAAAUGACCCUGCAUCAUUAUACUUAUUUUGAAUGUUCUUGUGGAAAAUGCCCUAUUGCUGCUUGUGUUGCUUGACGGCUCAUAUGCAAAUGUGUGAAUGUUUUGACUGAUUUGGAUACUUUAACUUGGAUUAAAAGUGUGGGAAAAUUGUGACCUAUAUAAAUGUGGAAACUUAUGACCCUUUUGGAUUUUUAAACCUGGAAUUUAUGUGGGAAAAUUGUGACUUGUUCAAAUAUGGCUAAAUUGACUAUUUUGGAUCUUAAAACUUGAAAUGCAUAUAUGGGAAAGUUUUGAUCUAUACAAAUGUGAAAAAUUAUCACUAUUUUAGAUUCUUGAACUUAGAAUUGAAAAUUGCCUUGUAAUUUGUUACCAUCAUAUAUUUGGCCUUCUUGACAAAUGACCCAUGCAUUAAUUGAUACUUGAUUUGAAGGUAACAAAAUUGCUUGUUUAUUUUGUUUAUUGAGAUCUCUUACCAGUAAUUAUCUUAUUGAUGUUUAAACAGCAUUUAGGGAAUGGCUUAUCCUAUUCUCGAAUGGUUCUUUGGUUCAUAGAUUAGACUAGAAGUGAGUUUUGUAUAAUUUUGGUAACAUGUUGCUACUUUUGAGUUUUUGAUUAUAUAUGAUUCUUCCUAUGUUCCUAUUAUGUUUAGCCACAAAUAUACAUCAGUCACUUAUUGAGGAAUCUUUAAUUAUAACAAUGGUAAGAUUUUGCUCACUUUUUUCUUUUGUUGUCUUUUUCCACCAAUAAACUUAGAUUUUGAUCUAAAUUGAAGGUGUAUGACAAUGGUAAGAUCGAUGCCUUUUUGGAGUGGCUUGCCAUUAGCCCUGGCACAAUCAUCACAAUGACUCCAUCGUGCACAGUCUUUACUGCGAUUGGGAUUUGGGCUUUUUGAAUUUGAGAAGUUGAAAGAAGGUAGAGGAUAAUGAUGAAGAACUGAGAAUGAUGAAGUGACUCAUAGCUUUCUAUGAGGAGCAUCUUAAUGUCGUUUAAGCAGGAAAUCAACAACUAGCCGCUAUGUGUAACAUUUGGGAAAAUUUAAUCUUGAUUUAUUAACCUAAUGAGGGUGAUAAGUGAAUUAAUAAGGUGUGCGGCCAGAGGGGUUCAAUUGGUGCAAUUAUUGUGGCAAUUUUAGCCCUAGAAGUGGAUACGGAUCUAUGGUGGGCCACUCGGAUGAGGAAAGAGGAAGAAAAAGUGAAGAUUUAUUUUUGGUGCCACAAGUCACGAUGCGUGGUCAGUCUGCCGCGGUGCAGAGGCAGAUUUGAAUGCAAUGGCCUCCUUUGUGGCACGCGCUAUGGCAGACGGCAAUGUGCUCCGCAACGCACGGCCAAAAAUAUGAUAUAUCAGAUUCAUAUUAGCGCGAGAAAAACAGAAAGAGGAAGAGAAAAAUAAAGGAGCUCGACUUUGGCUCUACUAGGGCUUAUUAUUGGAGCAUAUUGGUGAUAGAUUGAAACUUUCAAAUACCCAAGAGCAUGAUCAUUGGUGGGAGUUUUCCUAAGGAGAGGAGUAGAUUGAUUUAGAUCCACGUGGUAUUGGCAGUGACCAUUGGAAUCGAAAAUUGGCCUUCGCACUAACCGUUGGAAUCGGGAGGUAGCCCUUGUCCCAUGGUUGAUUCAGGACUGUCCCACUUAUUUUACAAGGAACUCGAACCUAGCUAGUCUCCACCGGUUCAUGAAGAGGCUAGAUUAGAGGUACAACACCCCAUAGUUGUUAGCAUUGGGGGAAACUAGAUUACAUAAAUGAGUGAGUUAACCCUGGCCUGGUAGCUCCUCAUAAGUGGAAGGUUGGGUUAAUCCGUGAAGGACGUAGCUGCGUGAUAGCUACCGGUUUUGUGUUAGAGGUAACAAGAGGGUAUAAGGGUGGCAUAUGAUCAUGCAUAUAAGACUGGCUAUAUGGUUGUUAGUUUUAUGGUCUGACAUAUGUUAGGGGUGCAUGGUUGUUAUUAUUACAACCCCGUGUUGUGCCUUGUGAAAUAUUAUGAUAUUGUGUGUUGUGGGCCCGAUCACAUGGUUGCUAGUUUUGUGAACUAUGGCCAAAUGUUUAUAUGUGGUAUUUGUGUAUUUGCCUAAUUAAAUCUAUUUACAAUUGAUAUACAACUAUAUAGGUUAGGUAAAACUUGGUUACUAAAUGGUUGUACUCACCCCUCAAUUCUUAAUA